This is a long non-coding RNA of Xiphias gladius (swordfish), 2786 nucleotides long. RefSeq lists it as uncharacterized. Lineage: Eukaryota; Metazoa; Chordata; Actinopteri; Istiophoriformes; Xiphiidae. The record is from RefSeq and is a predicted model, not a curated record. The transcript is spliced from 4 exons.
CUCACCGAUAAAAUUCCAAUAAUCGCACAGACGUCAUCACAACAGCGGAUGACCCAGGGAUGUCAAAGAGCCGGAGCUCCCCCGGUUACCUGCCGGGUGCCAGGCAGGGACAAACCUGAUGCAGGAUGGAUGAAGUGUCCAACCAUCUUGUGGGAAUACACAAAUAAUGAUGUGUCCUCCAUCUCUCCGCUAUCUCUCAUUUUCUUACACUGAGGACAUUCUGACUUCCAGAGACUUCUGUGGUUCGUCCUCCAUCUGUUAUUCUUAUAAUCUCUACAGAGCUGUUGGAGAGUGAAGCAGCACAGAGCUGACCUUAUAAAGACUCCUCCUGAGAAGACCACACCUCUGUCCCCAAGUCCAUGGAAGCCAAGGCCAAGUCUGGGGCUCCAGCGCCCAAGGCAGCAUCUAAAGUAGAGAAGAAGGAGCCCGCAGCCCCACGCAAGGCUGACCCUGCACCUGCAGCUCCUGAGCCUGAGCAUCCUCCCUCCGAGGAUGGAGCAGCAGAAGUGGAAGCUGCAGCGGCAGGUGACGAGGCUGCGGCCUCUGGUACAGACUCUCUGGAACACCUGAAACCCUUUUUCAUUGGUGGUGUUGUUAUUGCUGCAGGAGCCAUCUUGCUGGGAGUGUUGCUACUGGCGAGGAGAAAUUAGAGCGUCAUUGCUGAUUGGUUCACAGACUACCAUGGUACAGAUGGGGGAUGGGGAGCCACUGUGCAAAUUACAUUGUUUUGGUUUUUUUGGCCUGCUUUCACUUGUAGUAAAUCAAACCAUUCAAGUUUUGAUCAAAGUUGUAUAUGGAUCAUAAUUACACAUAGCAUAUGCAUGAAGUUGCUUCAAAACUGCAUCUGAACUGUAAUAAUCUGUUUCUUAAAAAAAAUAACCUCACACUGUAGUACCGAGUUUAAAAGCCAAAACUCUCUAAAGGUAUCUUAUUCAACUGCUUUAUCUUGUUUAAGCUAGUUUGCACAAAUAUUGACAUAAUCUUGCAAUAUUUGUACAUUCUUGCACCAGAAAUGAGCUGGUUCACUUUGCUACAAGAUCAUGAAAAACUAUAUUCAUAAUGUUGAAGCUUAUAGAUAUUAAUAAUGGCUCUCAGAAUUGUCCUAGGUUGUAUUUUACUUUUCAAAAGGACAGAGAGAAAGAGCAGACCUGAAAACACCUGGGAAUAUGCAUCGUGAUGUAUUUCACACUUUGGCUAAAUCAGUGCCUAAUUGAAAGGAUUAAGUUUCUCUUUCUUCAGAGUACUGGGAGAGAGACACUGUGUCCCUGCAUAUCCAAAAAAUGUCAAAUAGAGAACGGAACAGUGCAAUUUAAAGAAUCGACUUUUUCAGAGAUAGGAAAUAUAAGUAUGUAGUGGUUUAGGAAGGGGAUGUAUAUGAUUGUUGGAGAUAAAACAAAUACAUUAUGAGGCAAAGAAGAGUAGUGAUGUUACUUCUUGCUGUAAAAUAAGAGAGUUUUAUUUUACUGUCAAAUGAUGUCAGAAAUCAAUAACCUUUCAUGUCUUACACAGUAGCCACAGUCGUGCUGGUUCAACCUGUUUACAUCUUACAGUAGAUACUUAGCCAUUAGUCAUUAGUGUUGCAGUAUCAUGUUUAAAACCUGCUGCUAAAACAUGGUAGUUGUUUCUGUUUUCACUGUGCUCCCCGUACGUGGCUAUAGGGAAAAAAAAAAAAAUCAUGUUUUCAAAACCUCAUUAAUAACAAAGUACAACUAUAACGUAAUGAGAGCAUCUUAGGUUGCUAAUACAAUGAAAGUGAAGUGCAGACGAACUACUGUUGUAUAGUUUACUCAAAUGAAAAAAAAUUGUCAAGCAGUCACAAUUUUGUUGCUGCAUACACUCGCCUGUACAGCUGUACACAACAUUGUCCACUCACAUGUAAAGCUCAUGGGGAUGUCCCUGUUGCAUAAGUAGAUAGCAACGAAACAGUUCUGUCACACACACCAUUACUUGAUUUUAGUUGUAAGGGUAUGUAUGAACACAUUACUGACCACAUAUAUUGUACGAACAUACCACAUUCGCCACAGUCAACACCCCAGACACAUCCAAAAGAUAGUAUGCCAACACAAAAACAAACUUCACCUUACAUUGUACAAUACAGUGUACCAAAAAAAAUAAAAAUCCUAUUUUCAUAAAUUCAACAGCGUAUAAAUGCAAUAAUUCAGAUAGGACUAAUUAUUUAGCACAUGUGCUGUAGCAAGUUAAAUUACAUAAAUGAUGAUGUAAUAAUAUUGUUGGUGAUUAUGAUGUAUGAUGGUAGUGCUGGCAAUGACGGUGACGUUACAGAUGAUGAUGAUGGUAAUGAUGAUGUUUUUCAUGGUGACUGUAAUGAUGAUAAUGAUGGUUAUGCUAUAUUUUUGAUAUAUUUCUAACAUACCUUCCUUAUGCACACUCCCCUCUGCCCCCAACCUCCUAAAUGUAAAAAAGGAAAGAGGUUGUAAUCUAACCUUUAUUAAAGGCAGUGAACCAGCCAAAGUGAGUAUUUCUUUGAUAACAAGUGCACUCUUUAUUCAAAGUUACUCAGAAUUAGUGAUCAUAAUUGCAGAUAGAGCUUCCGCUCUAUGCAUUAACUAGAGGUGAAAUUACUCUCAGUUAAGUUAAACUGAUCACUCAUUUGAGCUUGGGUAAUUAAUUUACAGUGUCAGACAAUAUAGUAAUAAGGAUACAUGUCUUAAUCCUUAGGCUAUCUUACUAAAUCUUCGUUUAAUUUUUUGUAUUCUGUGAUUUAUGUAUGCUAUUCAUUCCAAUCUACAUUUCCAAUUUUGAAAUACAGAGCAAUGUUAUAUUGC